CUGCCCUCCAGCACGGCUGGGUGUUGGGCGCUGUCCCCCCGGGGACACGCCCCAAAAGCAGUGGCGGCGCCGCGUCGGGUCCUCGAGCGUAUGGGGCUUUGUCACCCGCUCGGGAGGGACUCGGUCGGCGCUGGUCUUCCUUCAGGCGACCCUUCGGGGUUCGUCUCUUCCGG
Molecule: unclassified non-coding RNA, 173 nt
Filed under: uncultured Talaromyces
Lineage: Eukaryota; Fungi; Ascomycota; Eurotiomycetes; Eurotiales; Trichocomaceae
Description: sequence contains ITS2
Source: RNAcentral